This is a long non-coding RNA of Anoplophora glabripennis (Asian longhorned beetle), 197 nucleotides long. RefSeq lists it as uncharacterized. The record is from RefSeq and is a predicted model, not a curated record. The transcript is spliced from 3 exons. NCBI's taxonomy places the organism in Eukaryota, Metazoa, Arthropoda, Insecta, Coleoptera, Cerambycidae.
CGGGAAGUUGCGCGAGGAUUUUUUGCAGCGGUACAGCUAAGAGAGUGUAAAAGCUGUAUGCACCAAAGUAAACUUUGUCUCGCAAAGAUUUACUGCGGACUACCAAUGCAAUCUUGAGUACUGGACUGGGAUAUGGCCUUAGACGAAAUGCAUUUAAUAACGAGCAGCUGCAGCUACGAUGAAAAAACCCACUCAAG